GAUCAUUAUGGUAGCCACUAGACCUGUGGCAACUGAAUAUUUGAAAUGUGUCUUGGUUUCUGUAGCUGAAUUCUGAUGGACGGAAGAUAGUUUCAUUUUAUAUUUUCCCUUUAUACUGGAAGAGAACAAGGAGGGAGCAAAAAAGCAUGUGCCACAUUGUCAAAUUGCUAACUUUACAUUUUCUCUGAGCUGAACAGAUGACAGGAUCUCAUAACCAGCUAAAUAUGGAACACGAUAUGAUGCUAAAUUGAGUGCAAGCCUACAACUGCUUUAAGGACAAAUAUAUACAGUAAUGUUGAAAAAGUC
Non-coding RNA from Peromyscus maniculatus bairdii (prairie deer mouse), 306 nucleotides. NCBI's taxonomy places the organism in Eukaryota, Metazoa, Chordata, Mammalia, Rodentia, Cricetidae. The record is from RefSeq and is a predicted model, not a curated record.